GACGAACGCUGGCGGCGUGCUUAACACAUGCAAGUCGAACGGAAAGGCCCUGCUUUUGGGGGGUGCUCGAGUGGCGAACGGGUGAGUAACACGUGAGUAACCUGCCCUUGACUUUGGGAUAACUUCAGGAAACUGGGGCUAAUACCGGAUAGGAGCUCCUGCUGCAUGGUGGGGGUUGGAAAGUUUCGGCGGUUGGGGAUGGACUCGCGGCUUAUCAGCUUGUUGGUGGGGUAGUGGCUUACCAAGGCUUUGACGGGUAGCCGGCCUGAGAGGGUGACCGGCCACAUUGGGACUGAGAUACGGCCCAGACUCCUACGGGAGGCAGCAGUGGGGAAUAUUGCACAAUGGGCGGAAGCCUGAUGCAGCAACGCCGCGUGCGGGAUGACGGCCUUCGGGUUGUAAACCGCUUUCGCCUGUGACGAAGCGUGAGUGACGGUAAUGGGUAAAGAAGCACCGGCUAACUACGUGCCAGCAGCCGCGGUGAUACGUAGGGUGCGAGCGUUGUCCGGAUUUAUUGGGCGUAAAGGGCUCGUAGGUGGUUGAUCGCGUCGGAAGUGUAAUCUUGGGGCUUAACCCUGAGCGUGCUUUCGAUACGGGUUGACUUGAGGAAGGUAGGGGAGAAUGGAAUUCCUGGUGGAGCGGUGGAAUGCGCAGAUAUCAGGAGGAACACCAGUGGCGAAGGCGGUUCUCUGGGCCUUUCCUGACGCUGAGGAGCGAAAGCGUGGGGAGCGAACAGGCUUAGAUACCCUGGUAGUCCACGCUGUAAACGGUGGGUACUAGGUGUGGGGUCCAUUCCACGGGUUCCGUGCCGUAGCUAACGCUUUAAGUACCCCGCCUGGGGAGUACGGCCGCAAGGCUAAAACCCAAAGGAAUUGACGGGGCCCCGCACAAGCGGCGGAGCAUGCGGAUUAAUUCGAUGCAACGCGUAGAACCUUACCUGGGUUUGACAUGGAUCGGGAGUGCUCAGAGAUGGGUGUGCCUCUUUUGGGGUCGGUUCACAGGUGGUGCAUGGCUGUCGUCAGCUCGUGUCGUGAGAUGUUGGGUUAAGUCCCGCAACGAGCGCAACCCUUGUUCACUGUUGCCAGCACGUUAUGGUGGGGACUCAGUGGAGACCGCCGGGGUCAACUCGGAGGAAGGUGGGGAUGACGUCAAGUCAUCAUGCCCCUUAUGUCCAGGGCUUCACGCAUGCUACAAUGGCUGGUACAGAGAGUGGCGAGCCUGUGAGGGUGAGCGAAUCUCGGAAAGCCGGUCUCAGUUCGGAUUGGGGUCUGCAACUCGACCUCAUGAAGUCGGAGUCGCUAGUAAUCGCAGAUCAGCAACGCUGCGGUGAAUACGUUCCCGGGGCU
Molecule: ribosomal RNA, 1346 nt
Filed under: uncultured bacterium
Lineage: Bacteria
Description: partial 16S ribosomal RNA
Rfam family: Bacterial small subunit ribosomal RNA
Source: RNAcentral